GAGUGAACGCUGGCGGUAGGCCUAACCCAUGCAAGUCGAACGGCAGCACAGUAAGAGCUUGCUCUUACGGGUGGCGAGUGGCGGACGGGUGAGGAAUACAUCGGAAUCUACUUUUUCGUGGGGGAUAACGUAGGGAAACUUACGCUAAUACCGCAUACGACCUACGGGUGAAAGCAGGGGAUCUUCGGACCUUGCGCGAUUGAAUGAGCCGAUGUCGGAUUAGCUAGUUGGCGGGGUAAAAGCCCACCAAGGCGACGAUCCGUAGCUGGUCUGAGAGGAUGAUCAGCCACACUGGAACUGAGACACGGUCCAGACUCCUACGGGAGGCAGCAGUGGGGAAUAUUGGACAAUGGGCGCAAGCCUGAUCCAGCCAUACCGCGUGGGUGAAGAAGGCCUUCGGGUUGUAAAGCCCUUUUGUUGGGAAAGAAAAGCAGCAGGUUAAUACCCCGCUGUUCUGACGGUACCCAAAGAAUAAGCACCGGCUAACUUCGUG
RNAcentral lists this ribosomal RNA (493 nucleotides) under uncultured bacterium. RNAcentral's name for it is "partial 16S ribosomal RNA". It matches the Rfam family "Bacterial small subunit ribosomal RNA", at positions 27 to 507 of the family's 1533-position model. The record is from RNAcentral.